This 293-nucleotide ribosomal RNA is filed under the name uncultured bacterium. Its description in RNAcentral is "partial 16S ribosomal RNA". It matches the Rfam family "Bacterial small subunit ribosomal RNA", at positions 505 to 796 of the family's 1533-position model. The record is from RNAcentral.
GUGUCAGCAGCCGCGGUAAUACAGAGGGUGCGAGCGUUAAUCGGAAUUACUGGGCGUAAAGGGUGUGUAGGUGGUUCAAGUAAGUCAGGUGUAAAAACCCCGGGCUCAACCUGGGAAUGUCGCUUGAAACUGCUUAGCUAGAGUACUAUAGAGGAUAGUGGAAUUUCCAGUGUAGCGGUGAAAUGCGUAGAUAUUGGAAGGAACACCAGUGGCGAAGGCGACUAUCUGGAUAGAUACUGACACUGAAACACGAAAGCAUGGGUAGCAAACAGGAUUAGAUACCCUGGUAGUCC